Long non-coding RNA from Lytechinus variegatus (green sea urchin), 2904 nucleotides. RefSeq lists it as uncharacterized. Lineage: Eukaryota; Metazoa; Echinodermata; Echinoidea; Temnopleuroida; Toxopneustidae. The transcript has 2 exons. The record is from RefSeq and is a predicted model, not a curated record.
UUUGACCCCUAUAUGACCUUUGACCUCAUCACCCUCAUGGACUCACAUGUGGUAUUACCUUAUGGUUAUUUGUACCACUUGUAAACCAAAUUGAUGCAAAAAAAAAUCUGAAUAAAAACUCAACGUUUUUACCCCUAGAUGGCUUUUGACCUCAUGGACAUGCAUGAGGUAUUGUCCAAGGAUCAUAUGUACAUACAUCUAGUGUCAAAAUAAUUGAUGCAGAAAUAAAGAAAUUAGAGCAAUUUGAUAAAAAUUGACCUUUUGACCCCAAGAUGAUCUUUGACCCCAUGACCCUCAUGGACACACAUGUGGUAUUACCUAAAGAUAAUACGUCAACAUAAUUGAUGCACUAAUAAAGAAAUGAGAGUAAGUUAAACAAAAACUAACAUUUUUGUAACAGACAAACAGGAAAAGUGAUUACUAGGUCUCUAGCAAACUUUGUUCAGGCAAGACAAAUAGGUAUUGCCUUCUUCAUAGCAAAAAAAGAACAAAAAGGGGCUUAUUCAUAGCAAAUAAAAGAAACAAAUAUACCCAAAAAGGAAUAGUUGGGUGUCUGUACUAAUCACAUAAGAAGUGAUAACACUUGAUACCAGCCUUACUUCAACUUGUGUGUUAUAGAUGGUCCCUGUUUUUUUUUCAUUACCAUACAUGUACAUGUAUCACCCAAUCACUCUAAAUCAAAAGUUUUUAAAAAAUCUGAAGAAAUAUGCAGAGUUCUAUUCAGUUGUUGUAUAUAAUUCUGGAAGACAUUGAUAAUACAAUAGAUAGAUAUAGAGCGCAUUUCCUCGUUCAUUCUUUCAGUAUUAUGCAAGAAAAUAUAUCUUUUUCUAGCCCUGCACAUUACAUUUAACUUACUGUACUAUACACUCAACUUGUCCACUCUUCUAGUACAGCACAAAAAAAUAUAUAUCUAUAUAUGCAUACAUCCUAUCUUAGGGCGAAGUCUAUGAAUGGGUUUAUUCAUAUUAUUAAUACACAUUUAGACGUUAAGUUGAGGGGAGAGGGCGCUAAGGCGCAUUACGAACAUUGAAAAAAGACAAAGAAAUUUGCCUUAAACGCAGAUGUAGAAAGAUAGAUAUUAUACAUAUAUAUAUAAUAAUAAUAACAUACUGUUAUAAAAUAUUUAAAAUUCUUUGAAAUUGUUCACUUUCUCCUUCCCUUUGAACCUCCCUCCAAUUUUGUUUGAAACUAUUUAGAGGAUGAGAAUUAGAUAUAUUCAAAAUAAAUCUGCAUGGUCAUAAAGAGUCUAACAUUAUUCUUAUGCAAAGAUGUACCGCAAAAGAUGAGAAAAAUAGUCUUGCUGUCUAUUACAUCUCAUUUCUCAGCAAAUAAGGGGUUUAAAAAUUCACACUUUUUUGUAAUUAAGUAUAGGAAUUUUUUAGCAUUAAUUAUCUUUUAAACCUGUUACAUUCAAUAUUUAACAAAAAAAUUCCUAAAAUCAUAUACACCUGGCCAUUUUCUUACAUCCCACACUAACAAAGAAAAAAAAUCUAAUUCACGAACACUGACAAUCAAUGUCUUAUAUCAGCAGUACAGAUUCUAACAAUUUCAUUUUACAAGCACAAGUUUUAAACAGCAAAGAAUUUAAAGGAGAAAAAAAUAAAAGGAGAUGAAAAGAAUUUCCUUUUACUUACCACAUAACAUAAAUUCAAAUAUAAAAGAUACAUGAGAUGGAAGGUUAAGUUUCAUGCUUUUAUCCAUAAAAUGUUUCAUUAAUCACAAAGACCACAUAUUUCUUAACAAAAACAUAAAACACAAAAAUCCUUGACCUAGCAUCAUAGAAAUUGAUAAAAUAUAUUCAAGGAGCAUUCAGAGAUAGAUUCUUUAUAUUUCAAAGGCACGAAAAGGAAGCACCACAUAGAUGUUGGUAUCAUGAUACCAAUAUUUAACAAAAUAUAUAAAGUGAUGAUGAUGAUAUAUCAUCUCCCUGCAGCUAAGAUUUAAUCUCCUGUAUGUAAGGUUAAACUAAAGAGGGCAGUAUUUCCUUUUGAACACUGCUAAGGUCAACACAUUUGAAGAUGGGCAAUUCCAGUAUGUACCACCUAUAUGUGAGAUAUUUACUUCUCUGUUUUCUAGUUUAUAUAAAGAUAGUAUUGCUCUCAAAUUAGCAUGGCUUAGUCAGUUCAUAAAAAGAAGUUAGGUUAGACAAACCAAAAAAUAGUCUAUUAUUUUAUGGAAUUGUCCGGAUAACAGCAGGGUUUCUUUCCAUUUUUACAGAGUGAGAGAGAGAGAGCUACAUAGAAUGUUCUUCUUCACAUACCUGAAAUUUAUUCAGACUUCUUAAAAUGACAUCUAUAGGAGCUCAUAAUGUGCACUAAUGUAAUUUCUAUGGGCUUUGCUGCAAACCUCAUGGAACUCGAGAAUAAUUUUGGAAUUAAAAGUUGAACCUUACAUAUCUACAUAUAUGGUAUGAAAGAUAUCAUCUUCUUCAGUGAUUUACUUCUAAGCAUUCCGCUUUCACUUUUAUUUUUUCUUCUUUCGUGUGUUGGUACAUGAAGAACUUUACAAAUUCUGGUUAUGUUCAAUAUCAAGUCUUACGUCUUCCAGGUUGAUUAUUUCUUGCAUAAUAUUUUCAUCAACCACUGGUGGGGGGGGGGGUGUUUGACAAAGAAAUAAGUAUGACAUAGUCGCACUAAAAUGCCUAGUUGAGUGCAGUAUAAAAAACAUGACCACAUUGGUCAGAUCAUGCCAAGAGGAUGCGCACUACUGCAUAUUAAUCAAUAAGAUUGCACGUUACAUAUCAUAUACGCUUCAGCAUUUAAGUGCGACUCUAAGUCAUACUUAAUCUUUGUGAUGAAACACCCCCUGGUCUUUGCAAACUAGGAAUUCCAAAAGUUUGUGGUUAUAAAGAUGAUUGUGGAAUGUGAAUGAUGACUUACCAAUACCAAACAGAUCUGAGGAAUA